This is a long non-coding RNA of Plodia interpunctella (Indianmeal moth), 3702 nucleotides long. RefSeq lists it as uncharacterized. Lineage: Eukaryota; Metazoa; Arthropoda; Insecta; Lepidoptera; Pyralidae. The record is from RefSeq and is a predicted model, not a curated record. The transcript has 5 exons.
ACACACGGAUAAUAGCCGCAUACGAAUCGAUAGCUGGAUAUCCGGGUGGGGUAAGCACUAAUUGCUCGGUAGCCGAAGCCGAAUGACGGCUCGAUUAGCCUAGAAUCGAUUCUGUUUUCAAGGAUUUGGAUGACUGUGUUCGUCGAUGUAUAAUGCAUACGUAGGUUAUUGAAAGAAGAAUGGGUGCGAGCUCUAAUAUUCGGUAAAUGCAAGCUGUAUGGCUGAAAGAAACGAUUUUCCGAGGAGAAAGGAAACAAGACAAAGCGGCUCCUAAGCCGGCGCCGGCUCCUACACCCAGUACCAGCGCUGUCCAUCAUACCUUGUACUCCCUGUAGAGGGUAGCAUGGCCACCAGCUUCAAUAACCAACACAGGCGCCGGCAGGCCUUAGUACUCCACCAGUUUUUAAGACGAUAUAGAUGAGUUAAUUCGUCAAUGUCACUACUGCCCUAGAUUCGGUAGCUCAGUUGGUACAAUACAGAGAUUGCCAAUGUGAAAAAUGAAAAAUAAUAAAUGCGUAAUAAAAAGUUGUAACUAUUUCGAAACAAUAAUAACAAUGGUAGAUACGUAUUCUAAAUUUAAAAUAGAUUUCUUGUUAACUUUAAAAUAAAACGGAACAACAUUUUACUCGCUAAGUCCGAUACCGACCGAACGGAAUACAUCACUGCAAAAAGAUUGCGACAAACGUACGUUUAUUCACCCCCUAUAUUUACAGAGGGAUUUUGUGAUUUUACCCCGGAUUUCCCAAACACUAUCUGUGUCGCCGACUGUUUAUUUUAUUUUCACUGCCUUGGAAAACGCUCUGUUCUAGUUCUGGAAAAUGUCUAGCUAAAUUGUAGUUUUUAGCAAGUUAAAGUGAUACUAAAAGCAUACAUUUUAUUGUUUAAUUUAUAUUUUGUCCCCUAUAGCUAAUGCUGUCCUUGAGCAAAGGGCAAAGGCACAAUUAACCAAAAGACAUUAUGAAAUAUUUAAGUUGAGAAUAAUUAUAUCUCAUGUUGUGGAAAUAAAAGUUCUUACUAGUAAGUAAGUACUUUUGUUUUCACGACAACACACAACAUUUUGAAGAAUGUAUCUGAUUUAUAUAGAAAUACUUAUACAAAUAACGAUAUAUAAAAGAGCUUGAAAAGGAUAUUAUUAUUGCCAAAAGUUAUCCUAGAAGAAUCAGCAGUCUGACUGCAAGAAAAUCCCGGCUUACGACUCCAAAUCUUUUGUUGUCCUCCUGUUGUGAUUCAAAACUCGAUAGAACUUGUUCGAGUUGACCAAUUGUUUCCGUUUUGCGAGAAUUCCAAUUUUAAAAGCAAUUUAGUUGGAAUCAGAUUUUGUUUGAAUUCAACAUUGUUAUAGUUGAAAGUGAGUUGAAAUAAAUGGUUUUCUCUCAUCCAACAUUUUCCCGGUGUUUUUCCCAGCCGUUGAGCGUCGGAGCCCACAGGGUCCGUAUGAAAUAGAGGUAGAUAAAGGUAAAUGGAGUAAAAAUGGUUAUAUAUAUAAUGAAGGAUAUAUAUAUAAUAUAUAUAAGGCAUAUCUAACUUUAUUUACAUCUACUUAUCUCAGGUUAUAGGAUCGUGACAUGACAUGGCUCACUCAGAAGUCUCUAGUCAUCAGUUUUAUGUGAUUAGAAGUUAAUAGGUUUAGUCCUCAUUACUGAACGCGUUAUGUCACACCUCAUUAUCCUUUAAAUAAGUCAUGUACAAAGUCCAAAGCUAAAGUCUCGUAUAUACUAUGAAUAGUAUACCUAUAUGCUUUUUAGGCAAAAUGUAACAAAGUAGAAGUUUUGUGUGUUGUAUGUAUGGUUAUAUUCAAUGCGUGUACCUACCAAAUUUCAUAACAAUCCGUCCAUUAGAUUUUGUGGAAAAGAGUGACAAUCAUACAUACACAUAUACUUCCUCACAAACUUUUGCAUUUAUGAUAUUAGUAGGAUUAAUGUAAUAAUAUAACAGUGUAAAAAUGAAACUUACAAAUAAGUACACAGGUACACCUACUACUUAUUUAUAUACUUUCAAUAGAAAAAUGGAUCUUAUAACAAUAUUUUACCUAUCCUCAAUACAUUUUCAAUCGUUAAUUUUUUAAAUAGUUUUAAAACUCACCAAACGCUGACUUAAUUGACAAUGACAUCGUACAUGCAAUCCUAUGAUUGGUUUGAAAGUUACUAAGAAAAAAUACCAUUAACUAUGCACCCACAAAGCAAUCAUACAUAUGAUCCGGGUUGACUGUUAAAUAACGCUUUUAGCAUUUACUCCACAUAUUUUAAUUUUACAACAUUUAUUUUGUGCAACAAAGUUUAAAUAUAUAAAUAAUAAAUAUUAAAUAAAUAAAUAUUAGGACAAAUCACACAGAUUGAGCUAACCCCAAAAUAAGUUCGAAACUUGUGUUACGGUAUACUAACUCAACGAUACUAUAUUUUAUAACAAAUACAUAUAUAGAAAAACAUCCAAGACCCGGACCAAUACGAAAAAGAUCAUUUUCCAUCAUGACCGGGGAUCGAACCCGGGACCUCUCGGUUCAGGGGCAAGCACUUUACCACUGCGCCACCGAGGUCGUCAAAUAAAUAAAACAAAUCUUCGAACUGCAUGGGUGCGAUGGCAAUUCAAACUAAACCGAGAAGAGAACACCGUUAAUUACACACAAUUUUAUGAAAGUUUCUUGUUCAAAAAUUGCAACCGUCCGAUUGUUUGCGAAGAAAGUGUGAAUUUGUGAGUGACGUGAGGAUUAAUCAUGCUGUCUCAGAAUACGGACGCCGACAAACAAUGCGGAUGACAACAGAAUGACGGCAGGCUAAUGAGGAUGAAGACUUAAAGAGAUUCUUUGUUGAGCCCGAAUUGGUAUUGCAGCCAUAAUUAUGGACACGAUCAAGUUUUCCUUGAGCUAGUAAUUUUUAAUCGCAUUGUUGUGGUUGAACAAAAAUAUGACUCGUAUACCUACCUAAGUAAUAUAAUUGAAAAUAAGAAAUCAAUAAUUUGUAAUUAUUUAUUGAAGGGAGCGAUUGAAUAUUUUAAAUCUACGAAUUAAAGAAGGAGCGGGAGAACAUUUGAAUUUAGAACGCCAUUUCCGACUUCUUUUGUGAUGGCCAGUCACGUGAUUGUUAUGUCUUCCUUCCUUCCAUCAUUUUUAUUUACAUUCUUUCUGACAAAUACAAAGCCCUACAAAUGAAAAUAGUAAUAACAAGGACAAUUGUUAAUUGCCGGCCAUUGUCUAAACUGUAAACAAACAUGCUGAUAGUGAUCGCAACUCCUAAACAUCAUUUGAAUACCAGUAACGGUUGGACGUAGUGACGUUUAUGUUAGGUUGUCUGUCUGUCGGUGUAAAUGAGCUCAAUUCAAUUUAAUACGCUGUUUAGUACUGGUUCCUUUCAAUUAUUAUUUCCUUCGGUAUAUCUAUAUACUAUACAUAUAAAUAAAAAGUGUCAUCACGAAAUGCCAUAAUCUAUUAUCAACUUUCCCCGGGCCUAAUAAAUUACGUAAAAUGCAUAAUAUCAACUACUAGUAAGUAUUAUAAAUUAAAAUAUAUCUCAAUUGAUUCAGAUUCAGAUAUCUGAAUAAAUAAUUUGAUGAAGUGGUAAACCAUUGCCACAGUUCAGCGUGUAUAUUGCUCCAUGUCAACGACUGGUGAUUACAAGACAACGCGACGGACGUAGCCGGAAAGGUUAUCAUUCUGCGCUUGCGACUCGACGAACCAAGUAGCAUAAUGUGCGAAAUUGGAUAAUAUGC